This is a long non-coding RNA of Bubalus bubalis (water buffalo), 428 nucleotides long. RefSeq lists it as uncharacterized. The record is from RefSeq and is a predicted model, not a curated record. The transcript is spliced from 3 exons. NCBI's taxonomy places the organism in Eukaryota, Metazoa, Chordata, Mammalia, Artiodactyla, Bovidae.
GAGGCAAAGAGCAAUCCAAAAAUCUGGGCUGCUGUGAGCCACACCCAGCUGUGCGGAUAUCUCAAGUGGGAGUGCACGUGACCUGAGGGAGCCAAAACACAUUUUCAGACAUCUCAAGGCUUUCCUGACUCUAUGGUGGUCCUGCCUGGUGAAGAGUCAAGUCCUGGCCCACCAUGAGCCUGGAUGUUUAGAGCUCCAAACCUCAGCUCACACCCUGGCAGCUCAUCACUCUGAAAAGAGGCUUUGGUGAACUGAGUAUGGACUGUGGUUCAACCCCAUAUUUCUCCUGAAGGGGAGAUUUUCGCUGACCAAACCAUAACUAAGCAACAGAAUGGAUUCUGCUGUCAUUUCCUGGUUUACAAGUAACCCUGCUAUGAUUCGGCGUAAGGUUUCGUGAACUUUCCGGGCCAGUUUUAAACUUGUGGUAU